UGGACUUUAUUUGCGCAGCAUAGGUGGGAGGCAUUGAGUUUAUUCUUGCGGGAAUUUAGGAGCCAUCAGUGAGAUACCACUCUGGUAAUGUUAGAUUUCUAACUUUGUAUCAUGAUCUGGUCAAAGAGCAGUUUCAGGCGGGCAGUUUGACUGGGGCGGACGCCUCCCAAAUGGUAACGGAGGCGUACAAAGGUUUCCUCUGAACGUGUAGAAAUCGUAUCUAGAGUGUAAAGGCAUAAGGAAGCUUGACUGUGAGACCUACAAGUCGAGCAGGGACGAAAGUCGGUCUUAGUGAUCUGACGGUGCUGAGUGGAAAGGCCGUCACUCAACGGAUAAAAGUUACUCUAGGGAUAACAGGCUGAA
RNAcentral lists this ribosomal RNA (363 nucleotides) under uncultured eukaryote. RNAcentral describes it as "LSU rRNA". It matches the Rfam family "Bacterial large subunit ribosomal RNA", at positions 2124 to 2486 of the family's 2925-position model. The record is from RNAcentral.